GCCUUCGUGGAUGAGUUGCCACAUUGUUCAUUUCCUGCGCAUACUAAGUUCUGGCCUUCAAAUGGUAGUCGGAGGUUCGAAUCCUCAUGAGGGCA
This is a non-coding RNA of Mycena rebaudengoi, 95 nucleotides long. NCBI's taxonomy places the organism in Eukaryota, Fungi, Basidiomycota, Agaricomycetes, Agaricales, Mycenaceae. The record is from the annotation of a GenBank genome assembly.